Molecule: ribosomal RNA, 592 nt
Filed under: uncultured Pelotomaculum sp.
Lineage: Bacteria; Bacillati; Bacillota; Clostridia; Eubacteriales; Desulfotomaculaceae
Description: bacterial SSU rRNA
Rfam family: Bacterial small subunit ribosomal RNA
Source: RNAcentral
ACUCCUACGGGAGGCAGCAGUCGAGAGGCUUCGGCAAUGGGGGAAACCCUGACCGAGCGACGCCGCGUGGGUGAUGAAGUCCUUCGGGAUGUAAAACCCUGUCAUACGGGAUGAAAAACCGAUCGGUUAAUAGCCUUUCAGUUUGACAGUACUGUAAGAGGAAGCUCCGGCUAACUCCGUGCCAGCAGCCGCGGUAAUACGGGGGGAGCGAGCGUUAUUCGGAUUCACUGGGCGUAAAGGGUUCGUAGGCGGUCAAGUAAGUCAGGGGUGAAAUCUAACGGCUUAACCGUUAAACUGCCCUUGAAACCGCUUGACUUGAGGACAUGAGAGGAAAGCGGAAUUCUUGGUGUAGCGGUGAAAUGCGUGGAUAUCAAGAGGAACACCAGUGGCGAAGGCGGCUUUCUGGCAUGUUACUGACGCUGAGGAACGAAAGUCAGGGGAGCGAACGGGAUUAGAUACCCCGGUAGUCCUGACUGUAAACGAUGGGCACUAGGUGUGGGAGGUAUCGACCCCUUCCGUGCCGCAGCUAACGCAUUAAGUGCCCCGCCUGGGGAGUACGGCCGCAAGGUUGAAACUCAMAUGAAUUGACGGA